This 370-nucleotide ribosomal RNA is filed under the name uncultured organism. RNAcentral describes it as "partial 16S ribosomal RNA". It matches the Rfam family "Bacterial small subunit ribosomal RNA", at positions 527 to 896 of the family's 1533-position model. The record is from RNAcentral.
GUAGGUGGCAAGCGUUGUCCGGAAUUAUUGGGCGUAAAGCGCGCGCAGGCGGUUUUUAAGUCUGAUGUGAAAGCCCACGGCUCAACCGUGGAGGGUCAUUGGAAACUGGAGAACUUGAGUACAGAAGAGGAAAGCGGAAUUCCACGUGUAGCGGUGAAAUGCGUAGAGAUGUGGAGGAACACCAGUGGCGAAGGCGGCUUUCUGGUCUGUAACUGACGCUGAGGCGCGAAAGCGUGGGGAGCAAACAGGGAUUAGAUACCCUGGUAGUCCACGCCGUAAACGAUGAGUGCUAAGUGUUAGGGGGUUUCCCGCCCCUUAGUGCUGCAGCUAACGCAUUAAGCACUCGCCUGGGGAGUACGCCGCAAGGCUG